UGUCCGCGCGCACGGACGCGUGGGCGCUGCCACGCGACCUCCCGUUGGCGGCGGUCUCCCCUCGGCCGGCUGUCGCCUCCUCGCCAGACCGGGAAAGGCGCCGCUGCCUCACGAGAACUGGCCCCCGUGACCGACCCCGUCUCAGUUCGUAAGGGAGGACACACAGCACCCCACCUCUGCGCCGGCCUCGGACCCCCGCGAGCCCUCAGAGCUCCCCCGGGACCCCCUACCCGGCAUCCCACCCACCCAAGCGCGCAGCUCCUCACCUGAGGGUCCGGGUCGCGCCGGGCCUCCAGAGGGGGCUGCGGCGUCACCGCGACCUCCGCACGUGUCCGCGGCCCCGCGGAGCAGAAAAAAGCAUCAUCUCAAAAAAGUUCCGAGUAUCUAAUGGAGAGUGAUGACAUUUCAAAAAGUAUACAAAAAAGAACACAGAAUCCAUGUUGGGAUAUCUAAACUCUCCAAAAUGAAAGCUCCUCAGGAAGCCAUUUCUAAAGAAUUGGAGGAAUAUAAGCAACUCCUUCUAGAGGGAUUUGAAGAUUUGAGAAGAAAACAAGAUGAGAUCAUUCAGGUUGCAAAAGCUUUUUCAAAGCAAGUGAAUGAAGCUAAUGAAGUGUUAGCAGAGUUCAGAACUAAAAAUUUUCUCCUGGAGAAACAACAGACUGGAACAUUAACCAAGUCUGUUUCUACGCAAACUGUUUCUACGCAAACUUCGGUAGUGUCACAUAGCGUUGGAAAUCGUGCUAAUAGUUUCUGGCUCAGCAGAGAUCUUACUCCACAACAAAACUUGGAGACUCCUACUUCAGCAACUCAGGCUUCACAUCACAACACUGCAGAGUCUUUGGACACGUUUGCCCUUCAGGAUCUUGACACCUCAACUUUAUGGGAAAGAUGUUUUCAGAUCAUUGAAAAAUGUAGGAGUCAACAAUAUUUGCCUUCAUGCCAGAAUAAAGCUUUUUUCAGAAACAGGCUUCUUGGGGCCAUGACAUAACAGGGGCAAAUCAGAGAACAAUUGUGGAGAAAUACUCCUGAAGCACCAUAGAGCCAUGAAACAAAGGAAUAAUAGCAAUAGUAACAAUUCCAAAAUAAACUUAAGCUUGAAAUUUAUAUCACACAUCCAAGUAAAAGUAUUAUUCCAAAUUACAGUAGCUAUACAUGACUGUGCUUCUCCAACUUUAAUGUGUCUGGACCUUCAGCCCAGAGUCAGGAGUCUCCACUCGGCUGAUUGCCAGGAGCAGACACUAGCUGGCGCAGCUGGUGUGGUUUCUGUCUCCUGCUUAGACCUUGGACUCACAGUCAAAGCAGAAGAGCACUGAGAUGCUGAGUGUCACAGGAAGGAAAGAGAACAUCAGGAGGAGAAGUUUGGUGUCUUCUGCUUUUGAAAUGCUUUGGCUCAGCUUCCACAACAGACCUGAGUAUGAAGGACCGAAUUGCAGCCAAGCCAGGUACAUUGAUACAACAUGGCUGCCCUGGACAUGACCUAUUGCAUUCAAGUUGCUUGAACACAUCAGAAGUCCCAUUGUUAAGGUUGACUGAUUGAAAUUUAUAUGUUACCAUGAAUAAAAAUUGUUUUCAUGUUGAACAUCAUGGGCCUGACUUGGUAAAUUCCUCAGUUUUGUAGCUGUACAGGGCAGCAUGUGAGCAGGAGUCAUUCAUCAUCAUACACAAACACACUUUGUUAUAUUUGGGCAUAACCACAGGCUUUCCUCUUUUAAGAAAAUUCCAGAGCUGGAGCAAGCCACAAUCAGGCACUCAGAACUCAUUCCAGGUCUCCCGUCUGGGUGUCAGGGCCCCAGGCAGUUGAGCUAUAUUCCACUGCUUUCCCAGGCACGUUAAGAGGGAGCUGGAUCAGAAGUGGAGCAGCCAGGACUUGAACCAGCACCCAUAUGAGAAGCUGGCAUCCUGGAGGGCAACUUAACAUGCUGUGCCCCAGUAAAGCAGAAUUUAUCUGAAAUGUCGGCAGACACAUAUUAAAAGAAAGAACUGUCAGCUGAUGCCACUUUGUGUGCCACUUUAUUGAAAAAAAUUGUCACAAAGUUUUCAUUGAGCACCAACCAUAGCUUACACUGCUCAGUUCACACAGAAAUGCAAAGUUGCGAGAUUGGUGAAGAAUAUAACUUCCUGAUGCCUUUUAUUCUUAAUGUACUCAGGACACAACAUUUUAAAAAUAAUUUCACCAUCACAUGAUGAAACAAUAGGUUUAUAUGAAAUACGUUCUCUGGUCAUUCAUGUCCCUGAAACAGUUCAAGUUCACCCAACAUUUCUCAGUUUAAUUAGAUAGGCGAUUCCAGUUCAACGGUCCUGGAGCAGUAAUAAAGCUGGCCAUAGAUAAUGUGCACUUUAUAAAAGGCCGGGUGUCUGUUGGAAAGCUGAUCAUCAUAAUGUCACUUGUAAAAUUCCACGACUGCAUUUGGAAGUGAUCAUCUGUAUCUAAUUUUUUAAGGAAACUUUCACUGUUCCGCAGCCAAUUUCCUUUCAGGUCCUGAAUACAGAUCAUUGGUGAAACAGUACCAGAUAACCUUGGUGCACAGAAUAGAAUAAAAGUACACAAUAUUCACAGAUGCACUUCUUCUUGUGCCUUUGCUGAAAAAAAACAA
This is a non-coding RNA of Oryctolagus cuniculus (rabbit), 2594 nucleotides long. The record is from RefSeq and is a predicted model, not a curated record. NCBI's taxonomy places the organism in Eukaryota, Metazoa, Chordata, Mammalia, Lagomorpha, Leporidae.